AAGAUUUUAUGUUAAUUAAACAAUUAGCCUUCAAAGCUAAAAUUAAAAAUAAAUUUUUAAGUCUUA
This 66-nucleotide transfer RNA is filed under the name Choroterpides apiculata (nomen nudum). RNAcentral describes it as "tRNA-Trp". Lineage: Eukaryota; Metazoa; Arthropoda; Insecta; Diptera; Culicidae. The record is from RNAcentral.